UACAGAGGGGGCAAGCGUUGUCCGGAUUUAUUGGGCGUAAAGAGCUCGUAGGCGGUUCGAUAAGUCGGACGUGAAAUCUCCACGCUCAACGUGGAGGGGCCGUUCGAUACUGUCGUGACUCGAGUCCGGUAGGGGAGUGUGGAAUUCCCGGUGUAGCGGUGAAAUGCGCAGAGAUCGGGAAGAACACCCGUAGCGAAGGCGGCACUCUGGGCCGGUACUGACGCUGAGGAGCGAAAGCGUGGGGAGCAAACAGG
Molecule: ribosomal RNA, 254 nt
Filed under: uncultured bacterium
Lineage: Bacteria
Description: partial 16S ribosomal RNA
Rfam family: Bacterial small subunit ribosomal RNA
Source: RNAcentral